Molecule: ribosomal RNA, 405 nt
Filed under: uncultured bacterium
Lineage: Bacteria
Description: bacterial SSU rRNA
Rfam family: Bacterial small subunit ribosomal RNA
Source: RNAcentral
AAUGGACGCAAGUCUGAACCAGCCACGUCGCGUGAAGGAAGACGGCCCUACGGGUUGUAAACUUCUUUUAUACGGGAAUAAAGUGCCCCACGCGUGGGGUUUUGCAUGUACCGUAUGAAUAAGGAUCGGCUAACUCCGUGCCAGCAGCCGCGGUAAUACGGAGGAUCCGAGCGUUAUCCGGAUUUAUUGGGUUUAAAGGGUGCUCAGGCGGGGGAUUAAGUCGGCGGUGAAAUUUUGCAGCUCAACUGUAAAAGUGCCUUCGAAACUGGUUUCCUUGAGUGUGGAUGAGGUAGGCGGAAUUUGUGGUGUAGCGGUGAAAUGCAUAGAUAUCACGAGGAACUCCGAUUGCGCAGGCAGCUUACUAAACCAUAACUGACGCUCAAGCACGAAGGCGUGGGGAUCAAA